UUUCCCCCAAAUUUGAGAACGUAAUAGCACACCACCACCACAAAUCGAUUUAGCUCUCUUCUCCGAUCAGCAACCCCCAAAACUCGAAGGCUUGAGGCAGCUCCUUUGGCCUUCGCCACUAACCAGAAGCACCUCAUUCUGGCAACCUUCCCGCCACACCACUAUCGUCGCUCAAUCACGAAGAUGGAGGAGACUAUGAGAGAACGAGGCAGCACCGAUGGAGCAUCAAGCCCUACACCCUUCGUUCUCCGACUUCUAGCCGUUAUUUGGUCUUCUCACUACCAAGAUCGAAGUCAGAGUUUCUUACUUAUCAAAACCCCUAACCUCGCCUUCGAACUCAGCCAGCGCCGUCAAUGUUGCCCGCCGCAGCUUCACUUACCGCUCUGCCGUACAAGGGAAAUCACUGUUGAGGGACUACGUAUUACGUAAUAGUUGUUGGCUUCUCAGCUCAGAAACCGCAAGCAAAACAAAGAUUGUUGCUGCCCUUGAAUCAGAUUGCUGUCAAUUGAAAUGCAAGGUGAAAAGGGAAAAGGAACUGAGUGGUGUUUAAGCCUAAUCGGUCAUCUAUACAAGGACUGGAUAAAUCAGACUGAAACUGACUCUCUUGUCUCCUCUCCUCUCCUCUACGGCAUAGGGGUGCCACAGCCCACAUCAACCAUCUCCCUCUCGCCGUCUCUCCUCCGAGUCCUCUCCCACCCUCUGGGUGGUUCAGUAAGUCUGUAAACCCUCCGUCGUACAAUUUUUUAUAUGGUAUAUCAUUACGUGCACUCAUGAGGUUUGCUAAAUUUGGUGAUUUAUACUUGCACUCAAUUGUACAUGUUUUAUUUACUUUCUUACAUAGCUUUGUUGAUGUCAUCAAGACAAUAUUGCAAGUGCAUGGAACAACAUUGAGGAUUUGAGGUAUUGAGUCAUUAUUAUUGUCUGUUUUCUUUAAUAACCUCUACUCUUAUAUAUAUGGUUGUGGAGUUUUUCAAGAAAUCUUGCAAUGGAAUGAGCAUUGACACAGUGGAAGAAGUUGCUAACUUGAUGGUGGAUAAAAAAUGUGCAUAUUUUAAUUUUAUUUCUUUUUGAUGUAAUAGAACUACAUUAUGAAAUAGAUGAGAUAAUUUUAGUGAUAUUGUG
This is an RNA transcript of Argentina anserina (silverweed cinquefoil), 1122 nucleotides long. RefSeq lists it as uncharacterized. NCBI's taxonomy places the organism in Eukaryota, Viridiplantae, Streptophyta, Magnoliopsida, Rosales, Rosaceae. The transcript is spliced from 4 exons. The record is from RefSeq and is a predicted model, not a curated record.